Molecule: long non-coding RNA, 627 nt
Organism: Homo sapiens (human)
Lineage: Eukaryota; Metazoa; Chordata; Mammalia; Primates; Hominidae
Source: Ensembl
GUGCACAGUGAGGCUGCUCUCAGGGAAGGUGUCCUCCUGCUGGCAGCAGGGGCCAUGGGUACUGGCAGGGAGUUGGCGAUGGAGAGGACAGUUCAGGAAGAAAAGGGUGCAGGCUCUGGCAUCCGGUGCAGUCUUGCUCGUCAUCUCCGCUUCCCUCUGCUUCUUCCCAGGCUCCAGUUCUCCCUGGAUUCCAGGAACACCAUCUCCUUCCUCGUCCCUUCCAUCCCAGGGAAGGUUUACACUGAAAAUUUUUUGUGAUGAAAAGAUUUGAAGAAGAUGACAGGAGAUGGAGAAGCACCAGCUGAUCUGCAGACUCCAAGGAGGUCCCAGGAAGAGGUAUAAAGGAAGGAAUCUGAGACAUGGUUCUUCCUCCCUGUGGGUACCAUCCCUUCCUGUGGCAGCUCUCCUGUUCUCUAAGCACCUCGAUCCCCCCAACCCCACUCAUUUAUAUGGACCUGGCACUCAGAUCUUUCACCCGUAUAAUGCCACUCCAGGCUCUGCCUCUUGGGUAGUGUCCUAUGUCCUAGAAUAUUCCCAGAUGAGAAUGGGACCCCUUAGGUAGAGCUGUGUGCUCUGCCUCACCUAAUCCAGCUGGCAACCCCCAUAGGUGUCAUCCACUAAGAUCUU